This 668-nucleotide ribosomal RNA is filed under the name Microbacterium sp. RNAcentral describes it as "bacterial SSU rRNA". It matches the Rfam family "Bacterial small subunit ribosomal RNA", at positions 143 to 825 of the family's 1533-position model. The record is from RNAcentral. Lineage: Bacteria; Bacillati; Actinomycetota; Actinomycetes; Micrococcales; Microbacteriaceae.
AUAAGCGCUGGAAACGGCGUCUAAUACUGGAUACGAGCUGCGAAGGCAUCUUCAGCAGCUGGAAAGAACUUCGGUCAAGGAUGAGCUCGCGGCCUAUCAGCUUGUUGGUGAGGUAAUGGCUCACCAAGGCGUCGACGGGUAGCCGGCCUGAGAGGGUGACCGGCCACACUGGGACUGAGACACGGCCCAGACUCCUACGGGAGGCAGCAGUGGGGAAUAUUGCACAAUGGGCGCAAGCCUGAUGCAGCAACGCCGCGUGAGGGACGACGGCCUUCGGGUUGUAAACCUCUUUUAGCAGGGAAGAAGCGAAAGUGACGGUACCUGCAGAAAAAGCACCGGCUAACUACGUGCCAGCAGCCGCGGUAAUACGUAGGGUGCAAGCGUUAUCCGGAAUUAUUGGGCGUAAAGAGCUCGUAGGCGGUUUGUCGCGUCUGCUGUGAAAUCUGGGGGCUCAACCCCCAGCCUGCAGUGGGUACGGGCAGACUAGAGUGCGGUAGGGGAGAUUGGAAUUCCUGGUGUAGCGGUGGAAUGCGCAGAUAUCAGGAGGAACACCGAUGGCGAAGGCAGAUCUCUGGGCCGUAACUGACGCUGAGGAGCGAAAGGGUGGGGAGCAAACAGGCUUAGAUACCCUGGUAGUCCACCCCGUAAACGUUGGGAACUAGUUGUGG